UGUGGGGCUGAGUUCAAUAUUCCAGGCCUGGGUAAAUUAGGUGCAGUACUCCAAAGCACCAUUGAAGGUUGAUCCUUUAGUAACAUAGCAUAACCAUUAGCCCAGGAACUUUGGUUCUCAUCCACAGGAAAUUAAGAUAACACAAAUGUAAAAUUUUAGACAAAGAACGAGACAGAAGAUGAGGAACAUCUUUACUCAGCGAGUGGUAAGGAUCUUGAAUUCUUAUAAGGAACGUAGAAACAAUCAUUGCAUUUGAAAGGGAAUUGAAUAAGCACUCAGGACAAAAUAAAGGACAUUGUGGAAACAGCAGAGGAAUGGGACUGAGAAUGUCGUCUACUGGGUGCUGGCGAAGGAACAAUGGGCCAAAUAGUCUUCUUCUGUGCUGUAACUACUCUGUGAUUCCGCUUAAUGAAAGGAUGCACAAGGAGGCUUCUUUCAUGAUGCCAGUUACUUCAGGAAAAUGUUUGGAAAGCUGAACCCGAGCCCCUGGAAAUGGAGCAUUAAUCUAACUCCCGUUUGUGCUUGCCGGGACAAUGGAAGUUCAAACCUCUCUGUGUGUCCCCACCUGCAUCUGUGCAACGAGACAUAAGGGUCCAACUGACCAGACACUCAACUGCAGCUGAAAAGGCAGAACAAGCUGAAAAAUGGACCAUUUUUAUCUUCAAAAAAUAAGAUCUGGAUGUACUUGAGGCUGAGAUUGAUACAAAUUGGAGCUUGCACUUAUGUGGGACAAGGUGACAGGAUGUGUGAUUUGAUGCAAUAUCUAUCAACAGCCCUGCAAAAUAGUGAACGUAUUGCUUUCUGCCUGGAAAAUAAUAAAUCUAGUGCCUUGAUGCUGAUUCCCCAAAUUUAUCAAAACAGAAACUUUCACUAACCACUCAAUAUUGACUUCUACAACUUUAGAUAACUUGCACUUUCUUGCUGUUUGUAUCAGGGCAAGCUACUUUUGCCAUCCCUGCUGGGCAUAUCCCGAUAGGCCAGACUUACUGCAUUGCCACAUUACAGGAAAGAUGUGGAGGUUUUGGAGAGGGAGCAGAAGAGGUUCACCAGGAUGUUGCCUGGAUUAGAGAGUAGUAGCUAUAAGGAGAGGUUGGAGAAACUCAGAUUGUUUUCUCUGGCAUGUCAGGGGCUGAGGGGUGACCUGAUAGAGUGUAUUAAAUUAGGAGAGGCAUAAAUAGGGUAGAUAGAGUCUUUUUCACAGAAUGGAAAUUUCAAAUAUUAGAGGACAUAGCUUUAAGGUGAGAAGGAGACAAUUUAAAGGAGAUUUACCAGGCAAGUUUUAUUUACACAGAGAGUGGUAGCUGCCUGGAAUAUAAUUCUGGGGAAGCAGUGGAAGCAGACAUUUAAGAGACAUUUAGACAGGCACAUGAACAGGCAGCAUAUGGAGGGAUAGAGACCAUGUGCAGGCAGAUGAGAUUAGUUUGGAUUGGCUUCAUGGCUGGCACAGACACCAUGGGCCGAAAUGCCUGUUUCUUUUACUGUUCUAUGUUCUAUGACUUUGCAAUUUUAACACCACAUCACACAAAGGAUC
Long non-coding RNA from Pristis pectinata (smalltooth sawfish), 1531 nucleotides. RefSeq lists it as uncharacterized. The transcript has 3 exons. The record is from RefSeq and is a predicted model, not a curated record. NCBI's taxonomy places the organism in Eukaryota, Metazoa, Chordata, Chondrichthyes, Rhinopristiformes, Pristidae.